CACGGGGGGAGCAAGCGUUGUUCGGAAUUAUUGGGCGUAAAGAGCUCGUAGGCGGUCUGUCGCGUCUGGUGUGAAAAUCCAGGGCUUAACCCUGGACCUGCAUCGGGUACGGGCAGACUAGAGUGCGGUAGGGGAGAUCGGAAUUCCUGGUGUAGCGGUGAAAUGCGCAGAUAUCAGGAGGAACACCGGUGGCGAAGGCGGAUCUCUGGGCCGUAACUGACGCUGAGGAGCGAAAGCAUGGGGAGCGAACAGG
This 253-nucleotide ribosomal RNA is filed under the name uncultured bacterium. RNAcentral's name for it is "partial 16S ribosomal RNA". It matches the Rfam family "Bacterial small subunit ribosomal RNA", at positions 524 to 776 of the family's 1533-position model. The record is from RNAcentral.